Molecule: ribosomal RNA, 440 nt
Filed under: uncultured bacterium
Lineage: Bacteria
Description: partial 16S ribosomal RNA
Rfam family: Bacterial small subunit ribosomal RNA
Source: RNAcentral
CCUACGGGGGGCAGCAGUAGGGAAUAUUGCUCAAUGGGGGAAACCCUGAAGCAGCAACGCCGCGUGGAGGAUGAAGGUUUUCGGAUUGUAAACUCCUUUUGUUAGAGAAGAUAAUGACGGUAUCUAACGAAUAAGCACCGGCUAACCCCGUGCCAGCAGCCGCGGUAAUACGGAGGGUGCAAGCGUUACCCGGAAUCACUGGGCGUAAAGAGCGCGUAGGCGGGAUAGCAAGUCAGAUGUGAAAUCCUAUGGCUUAACCAUAGAACUGCAUUUGAAACUGUUAUUCUAGAGUAUGCGAGAGGUAGGUGGAAUUCUUGGUGUAGGGGUAAAAUGCGUAGAGAUCAAGAGGAAUACUCAUUGCGAAGGCGACCUGCUAGAACAUAACUGACGCUGAUGCGCGAAAGCGUGGGGAGCAAACAGGAUUAGAUACCCCUGUAGUC